This 419-nucleotide long non-coding RNA is filed under the name Brassica napus (rape). RNAcentral describes it as "long non-coding RNA (BNAP_LNC019752)". Lineage: Eukaryota; Viridiplantae; Streptophyta; Magnoliopsida; Brassicales; Brassicaceae. The record is from RNAcentral.
UUUAUUUCGAGUUUCGUUGCUGUAAUAUGUUUUCUUUGAUUUAAUAAUGGUCAAAUCUCCAAAAUAGCAUAUUUCUAAGUUUAUAUCACAAAAAUAGCACUCAAAAACUAAAAUGACCAAAAUAGAACCUUUCUAAGUUUAUCCUUUGAAAAUUUUAAUUUUUUUAUUUUUCAAAAUUUGAAAUCUUAUCCCCAAAACCUCAUUUCUCAACUCUAAACCCUAAACCGUAAACUCUAAACCCUAAACCCUAAACCCUAAACUCUAAACCCUAAACCCUAAACUCUAAACCCUAAACCAUAAACCCUAAAUCCUAAACCCCACUCUUUAACCCUUUAACUCUAAACCCUAAGUUUGUGACUUUUGAUAAAACAUUAAGUGCUAUUUUUGUGACUUUUGACCUUGAGUGCUAGUUUAGGAAC